AGUUGUACGGUAUUAUCUUCAGCAGAGCAGCGCGCAAGAAAAAUGCCGCUAUGUCUCUCCUGCUCAAGCUAUGCUCCUCCGCCGCCGGAGGCCGUCUCCGGCGACUCCCUGCUCGCUAUGCUGGACCACCGCUGCGCCACCAUGCGGGACCUCCGCGUCAUCCACGCCGGACUCAUCAAGGCCGGCGUCCUCUCUACAUCCACUCUCGCCGUCAGCCGCCUGCUGGCCUUCUGCGCCUCUCCGGCCGGGGACAUGAGCUACGCUUCCGCGCUCUUCACUCGAGUUCCCCGCCCCAAUCUCUUCAUCUGGAACACCAUGAUCAGAGGCUUCUCCCAGAGCUCCGCCCCGGAGAGGGCCAUCUCUCUCUUCAUCGAGAUGAUCACGUCGUCUGAGAUUCCGCCGCAGAGGCUGACUUACCCGUCGGUUUUCAAGGCCUACGCCGAGCUGGGUUUGGCUGAAUCUGGCGCUCAGCUUCAUGGGAGGAUCGUAAAGUUGGGGCUGGAAGAUGACCCCUUUAUCCGGAACACGGUCAUACAUAUGUAUACGAAUUGUGGGCUUUUGGGUGAAGCCCGUCAAGUGUUCGAUCGAAGUACUGAUCCAGACACCGUUGCUUGGAAUUCCAUGAUAAUGGGCCAUGCUAAAUGUGGAGACAUUGAUGAGUCAAGGUGGCUUUUCGACAGGAUCCCGGCGAGGAACACGAUAACAUGGAACUCUAUGCUGAGUGGGUAUGUUAGAAAUGGUCUGUUCAUGGAGGCGCUGAAUCUGUUCAAUGAAAUGCAGAAGAGCGGAAUUCGGCCUAGCGAGUUUACAAUGGUCAGCCUGUUGAAUGCUUCAGCCCACUUAGGAUCCUUAACACAGGGCCGAUGGAUUCACGAGUAUCUAAUGAGAAAUGGGUUUGAGUUAAAUCCGAUCAUGGUGACUGCUCUGAUUGAUAUGUACAGCAAGUGUGGUAGCAUUAGUGAAGCUUAUGAGAUCUUCCGGGCUGUCCCUAAGAAGGGAUUAUCGUGUUGGAAUUCCAUGAUCCUGUGCCUUGCCCGGAAUGGGCAUGAGGAGGAAGCGGUUUGUCUAUUCUCUCAGCUCGAAUCGUCUGGCCUUAAGCCUGACUCUGUUAGUUUCGUUGGUGUCCUCACUGCAUGUAAUCACGGCGGCUUGAUCGAUAAGGCGAGUGAAUAUUUCCAACUAAUGAUGGAGAAAUAUCAUAUUGUUCCGACGAUAAAGCACUUCAGUUGCUUGGUUGAUCUGAUGGGCCGCUUAGGAUGCAUUGAAGAGGCAGAAGAACUGAUAAGGGAUUUGCCAGUGGAUGCUGAUGCUAUACUGUGGGGUUCUCUGCUCUGGGCCAGUUGGAAGCAGGGGAAUGCCGAGGUAGCGGAGCGGGCUGCUGAGCAUCUGGUUGAGCUGGGCUCGGGCGAGAGCUGUGGGUAUGUGAUCAUGUCCAAUGUGCACGCAGGGUCCGGUAAGUUUGCAGAGGCAAUCAAGCUUAGAGUUUCCAUGAAAGAGAAGAGAGUAGAAAAGCAACCAGGAUGUAGCUUGAUAGAAGUGGACGGGGAAGUUCAUGAGUUUAUCGCCAGUGGGGGGAGGAAACAUCCUAGAGCCGAAGAGAUCUACUGGGUAUUAGAUGAGAUGGUGCCGAUAUUACGGGAGCUUGGAUCAGUUGAGAUGAGCUUAGUAGCAUGAUUUUUUUUCCGUUGCAACAGUUGGAUAGCUAAUGCUCCUUCAAGGAAGUUCAGACAAUCCUUUGCAAAUGUCGAUCGAGAUGAAUCUUUGAUAUUGUUUCUAAGGUGAAGAGCGAGGGUCUCGAGCUUGUCGAUGCUGGGAAGAAUCACAGAUCACCCACACCCGAAGAGGAUCGUUCCACAGUUUCAUUAUUCAAGAUGACCAUGUGCCAGACACACCCGUAAAUUCACCCGAGAACAAUGGAUUCAGAGGGUUAAUGUGCUCGAUUGCCGCAUCUCAAAUUUCGGAAAACAGAUCAAACACCAAAUGCAUUGCCUCUUCAAACAAUGCGACUAAUACAUAUCAUUUAUUAUUACUCAACUAAACAAUCCAAAUGACUGAAUUGUAACAUGACCAAUGUUUUCCCGCGCAAAAAUGUGAAUUGCCCCCUUUUUAUCUUUUGGAUCAUCAGAAUUGUAUUGUUUUCCUAUCGAACAUCGAUGUAGAUCUCACCGCCUCAAAUAUAUAAGCGAUCAUACAACUUAACCAA
Punica granatum (pomegranate) is the source of this 2203-nucleotide non-coding RNA. Lineage: Eukaryota; Viridiplantae; Streptophyta; Magnoliopsida; Myrtales; Lythraceae. The record is from RefSeq and is a predicted model, not a curated record.